GUCCACGCCCUAAACGAUGUCAACUAGGUGUUGGGGAAGGAGACUUUCUUAGUACCGCAGCUAACGCGUGAAGUUGACCGCCUGGGGAGUACGGUCGCAAGAUUAAAACUCAAAGGAAUUGACGGGGACCCGCACAAGCGGUGGAUGAUGUGGAUUAAUUCGAUGCAACGCUAAAACCUUACCUACCCUUGACAUGCCAGGAAGUCUGGAGAGAUUUGGAUGUGCCCGAAAGGGAACCUGGACACAGGUGCUGCAUGGCUGUCGU
This 265-nucleotide ribosomal RNA is filed under the name uncultured bacterium. RNAcentral's name for it is "partial 16S ribosomal RNA". It matches the Rfam family "Bacterial small subunit ribosomal RNA", at positions 793 to 1055 of the family's 1533-position model. The record is from RNAcentral.